GUACCAUUAGUGGCGGACGGGUGCGUAACGCGUGGGAACCUGCCCUGAAGUUCGGAAUAACUGCGGGAAACUGCAGCUAAUACCGGAUGUGGCCUGCGGGCCAAAGGGGAAACUCGCUUCAGGAGGGGCCCGCGUCCGAUUAGCUWGGUUGGCGGGGUAACGGCCCACCAAGGCGAUGAUCGGUAGCUGGUCUGAGAGGACGACCAGCCACACUGGAACUGAGAUACGGUCCAGACUCCUACGGGAGGCAGCAGUGGGGAAUAUUGGACAAUGGGRGCAACCCUGAUCCAGCAAUGCCGCGUGAGUGAUGAAGGCCUUCGGGUUGUAAAGCUCUUUUGGCGGGGACGAUGAUGACGGUACCCGCAGAAUAAGCCCCGGCUAACUUCGUGCCAGCAGCCGCGGUAAUACGAMGGGGGCUAGCGUUGUUCGGAAUUACUGGGCGUAAAGGGCGCGUAKGCGGCCUUGUUAGUCGAGUGUGAAAGCCCUGGGCUUAACCCGGGAAGCGCGCUUGAUACUGCAGGGCUUGAGUGUGGGAGAGGAUGAUGGAAUUCCCAGUGUAGAGGUGAAAUUCGUAGAUAUUGGGAANAACACCAGUGGCGAA
RNAcentral lists this ribosomal RNA (601 nucleotides) under uncultured bacterium. RNAcentral's name for it is "bacterial SSU rRNA". It matches the Rfam family "Bacterial small subunit ribosomal RNA", at positions 86 to 719 of the family's 1533-position model. The record is from RNAcentral.